Molecule: ribosomal RNA, 494 nt
Filed under: uncultured bacterium
Lineage: Bacteria
Description: partial 16S ribosomal RNA
Rfam family: Bacterial small subunit ribosomal RNA
Source: RNAcentral
GACGAACGCUGGCGGCGUGCUUAACACAUGCAAGUCGAACGGUGAAGCGCCUUCCUUUUUGGUGGGUGUGGAUGAGUGGCGAACGGGUGAGUAACACGUGAGUAACCUGCCCCCUUCUUCUGGAUAACCGCAUGAAAGUGUGGCUAAUACGGGAUAUUCUGGGUCUGUCGCAUGAUGGGUCUGGGAAAGAUAUUGUUUCGGUGGGGGAUGGGCUCGCGGCCUAUCAGCUUGUUGGUGGGGUGAUGGCCUACCGAGGCGGUGACGGGUAGCCGGCCUGAGAGGGUGGACGGUCACACUGGGACUGAGACACGGCCAAGACUCCGACGGGAGGCAGCAGUGGGGAAUAUUGCACAAUGGGCGGAAGCCUGAUGCAGCGACGCCGCGGGAGGGAUGGAGGCCUUCGGGUUGUGAACCUCUUUCGCCAGUGAAGCAGGCCUGCCUCGUUUGUGGGUGGGUUGACGGUAGCUGGAUAAGAAGCGCCGGCUAACUACGUG